AAUAGAUACCCGGGUAGUCCACGCCGUAAACGAUGGAUACUAGCUGUCCGGGCCCUCGAGGCCUGGGCGGCCAAGCGAAAGUGAUAAGUAUCCCACCUGGGGAGUACGUCCGCAAGGAUGAAACUCAAAGGAAUUGACGGGGGCCCGCACAAGCGGUGGAGCAUGUGGUCUAAUUCGAUGAUACGCGAGGAACCUUACCAGGGCUUAAAUGUAGUAUGACAGGGGCAGAGAUGCCCUUUCCUUCGGGCAUAUUGCAAGGUGCUGCAUGGUUGUCGUCAGCUCGUGCCGUGAGGUGUCAGGUUAAGUCCUAUAACGAGCGCAACCCCUGUUGCCAGUUGCCAGCGAGUAAUGUCGGGGACUCUGGCAAGACUGCCGGUGCAAACCGCGAGGAAGGCGGGGACGACGUCAAAUCAUCACGGCCCUUACGCCCUGGGCCACACACGUGCUACAAUGGCCGGCACAGAGAGCGGCCACUGGGCGACCAGGAGCGAAUCUACAAAACCGGGUCACAGUUCGGAUCGGGGCCUGCAACCCC
Molecule: ribosomal RNA, 535 nt
Filed under: uncultured bacterium
Lineage: Bacteria
Description: bacterial SSU rRNA
Rfam family: Bacterial small subunit ribosomal RNA
Source: RNAcentral